AGAGAUGUGGCUUAGUGGUAAAGCAUCUGCUUUGCAUGCAGAAGGUCCCAGGUUCAGUCCUCAAUCGCAUGUCCA
Non-coding RNA from Podarcis lilfordi (Lilford's wall lizard), 75 nucleotides. The record is from the annotation of a GenBank genome assembly. Lineage: Eukaryota; Metazoa; Chordata; Lepidosauria; Squamata; Lacertidae.